Molecule: ribosomal RNA, 492 nt
Filed under: uncultured bacterium
Lineage: Bacteria
Description: partial 16S ribosomal RNA
Rfam family: Bacterial small subunit ribosomal RNA
Source: RNAcentral
AUUGAACGCUGGCGGCAUGCUUUACACAUGCAAGUCGAACGGUAACAGGCCUUCGGGUGCUGACGAGUGGCGAACGGGUGAGUAAUGCAUCGGAACGUACCCAGAGGUGGGGGAUAACGCAGCGAAAGCUGUGCUAAUACCGCAUGUGAUCUGAGGAUGAAAGCGGGGGACCGAGCAGCAAUGUUUGGCCUCGCGCCUUUGGAGCGGCCGAUGUCGGAUUAGCUAGUUGGUGGGGUAAAGGCCUACCAAGGCGACGAUCCGUAGCUGGUCUGAGAGGACGACCAGCCACACUGGGACUGAGACACGGCCCAGACUCCUACGGGAGGCAGCAGUGGGGAAUUUUGGACAAAGGGCGCAAGCCUGAUCCAGCAAUGCCGCGUGCGGGAAGAAGGCCUUCGGGAUGUAAACCGCUUUUGGCAGGAACGAAACGGUGUCCGCUAAUACCGGGCGCUAAUGACGGUACCUGCAGAAUAAGCACCGGCUAACUACGUG